Molecule: non-coding RNA, 1570 nt
Organism: Phalacrocorax carbo (great cormorant)
Lineage: Eukaryota; Metazoa; Chordata; Aves; Suliformes; Phalacrocoracidae
Source: RefSeq, a predicted model, not a curated record
GUCUGGGGGUGGCUGGCUCCAGUCCUACUCCCAGACUUGUUCAGUCUAAAGGGUUUUGUGUACACAAGCAAUUCUUUAUAGCGUUUAGCCAAGAUUUCAAAGUUCAGCAUGCUAUUAGCCACUUACCGAGCAUCUGUGGCAGCAAGGAAUCUCUCAGCCUCGAGGAGAAACCUCGGGAGGCAUCCCUGCCCAAGGGGAGAUCCCACCCUGCACCCGCUGCCGUGCAGGAGAGCUCAAGGGGCUCUUGGGCAGCUCACUAUUUAUGGGGUAAGAUGGUUGGCUCACAGUCAGGCCUACGUACCGGCUGCAGGUGUUAGUUUCUGCCAAGCGUGGCCUGAGUCGGAUGCUAAUUAGCGCUCUGGGUAGGUGGACAGGGACCUGCAUCCAUAAAUUCGCUCUCGGCUAUUGCGUGGAUAUCUGUUUCCUGGGACUCCGCUUUGAGCCGGAUGCAGCCGUCGCAACCAGGUGCAUCUUAUCACGACUAUCACUGGUGCUUAUCACUCGAGCAGAGCCGGGGGCAAAGAUCGGGUGAGGGGGAGCACACCGCCACAGCCGGGACCCUCUGUGCCACGUGAGGAAGCUGGGCUGCGCAACCGGCUCCAGCGAUAUGAUGAAAUCUGGAGCUAGAGAGGAGAAAUCGUUUGACACAGGGCCAUGACAAACUCUGUGGCUGGAUGUACUUCAGACAGCAAGAUGGAUGGGUUGGGUAACGACCCCCUCUGGGAUACAUCCUGGGCUGACGCAUGAUGAAUGGAGAGGCAGCGGAGAGCUCUCAGCGCCCCACGAACACGCAGCACGAGCAGCGGAUGCUUCAAAGAUGCCGAGAAGAGGCAGCAGCGCUCGCUGGGGCUCUGCCGUGUUUGCCCCACGCCGCCGCUCCAGUCGAUGGGGUUUUGAGUGAUGGUUGAGCCUCGGGACGUCAGGUCUGGGUGUCGGGGUGUCAGGGGUCCGUGGUGCCGGACCGGGGCUUGGCGCUGCGUUUCGGGUCGGUGAGGGCUGGCUGAGGGCACCUGGGCUGCGGCGUCUCUUGCGCAGAACGCGGCGUGCGGAAUAUCCCGGCAAACCCUCAGUAUAUACAUUUUAACCCGUUGACAAACGAAAAUGAGGAUUUGCGAGGUGACGAAGCGCUGCCGUGUAUCGAUGCCGCCGCAGGGCUGCGAGGGGCGGCGGCCGUCGGCGCAGGGAGGGUUUUGCAACCUGUUGUUAAGAAGAAACUCAAACGGGAGCUUACAGCGGCCGAAAGCUCCCCGGCACCGCGUCCCUGCUCCUCCAAAAUCCAGACAGAGAGGGAAACCUUAAAGAAACUGUAUUUAUUAACUGUAUGAUCACACUUGGCAUAUUCUAUUACUAAGGGGUCCUGGUACAUAGAUAUUAUUCACUUAAGUAAUCAAUCACUGCCAACAAAUUACAGGAUACAGGGAAUGAAAUUAGCAAAAUGAACUAUGGAUGUAAAAUUCAUUUGAAAUUCAAUUUAGGAGCAACAUUAGCUUUCAAUUAGUCUGCCCAACUGUUUGAGCAUCAUUCUCUCUAUCAGAUUUUUAAAUAAAUGUAAUUAACCUUUGCUGUUAAA